UCCUACGGGGGGCAGCAGUGGGGAAUAUUGGGCAAUGGGCGCAAGCCUGACCCAGCAACGCCGCGUGAAGGAAGAAGGCUUUCGGGUUGUAAACUUCUUUUCUCAGGGACGAAGAAAGUGACGGUACCUGAGGAAUAAGCCACGGCUAACUACGUGCCAGCAGCCGCGGUAAUACGUAGGUGGCAAGCGUUAUCCGGAAUUACUGGGCGUAAAGAGAGCGUAGGCGGCACUACAAGUCUCAUGUGAAAUACCCGGGCUUAACUUGGGGGUUGCAUGGGAAACUGUAGAGCUUGAGUACAGGAGAG
RNAcentral lists this ribosomal RNA (305 nucleotides) under uncultured bacterium. RNAcentral describes it as "bacterial SSU rRNA". It matches the Rfam family "Bacterial small subunit ribosomal RNA", at positions 337 to 656 of the family's 1533-position model. The record is from RNAcentral.